Molecule: long non-coding RNA, 623 nt
Filed under: Rattus norvegicus (Norway rat)
Lineage: Eukaryota; Metazoa; Chordata; Mammalia; Rodentia; Muridae
Description: long non-coding RNA NONRATT016722
Source: RNAcentral
CAGAAUUUUCCUAAGGACAAAAUAAAAUUUAUUUUUUUAGUGAGCUAAAGAGUAUAAGUUUUGGUGUCUGGCAUAAGUUUUGGUGUCUGAUUAUUGGGUUAUUCCCCCCCCCCCAGGGAAAGAACAAGAGAAAGACACAAAUCACCACGGAAUAAAGAUGGCAGGGGGUCAGAAAAGUCUGUCACCAUCCAGGCUCCCACUGGAGAGCCCUUGCUGGCGAAUGACUCUGCCCACACAGGCACAGAGGAAGUUCAGGUAAGGAUCAAAGGCUGUGCUGUAAGCCAGCUGCCACUCAGCUCGGCGCCUCCCUGCAAACGUUUUCCUAAGUCUUGUUGCACUAAGUUCUCUUGGGUUUUUAAUCUUCGUUUUUCUAGCAUCUUAACUACUUCUCUGGUUUUCUUGUUGGUCUAAGAACAACAUGUCCUACCAUUGAAUACCUCGGGGUGGAGGGGGGGUCUGUCCUUUCUGCCGUGUGCUUGGUUAGCCUUCUUUGAAUGGUGUUGGAAAGAAGCCAGCUUGGCUGGUGACAGGUCAGAAGAGGGAAAAAGGGUCCCUGGAGACUCAUUCUAAACUGGAGCAGGACUGGAGAGGGCUGGAAACUCCCUCAAAAACAAACAACCAAA